RNAcentral lists this ribosomal RNA (464 nucleotides) under Vreelandella stevensii. RNAcentral describes it as "partial 16S ribosomal RNA". It matches the Rfam family "Bacterial small subunit ribosomal RNA", at positions 338 to 795 of the family's 1533-position model. The record is from RNAcentral. Lineage: Bacteria; Pseudomonadati; Pseudomonadota; Gammaproteobacteria; Oceanospirillales; Halomonadaceae.
CCUACGGGAGGCUGCAGUGGGGAAUAUUGGACAAUGGGCGAAAGCCUGAUCCAGCCAUGCCGCGUGUGUGAAGAAGGCCUUCGGGUUGUAAAGCACUUUCAGUGGGAAGAAAGCCUUGGGGCUAAUACCCUCGAGGAAGGACAUCACCCACAGAAGAAGCACCGGCUAACUCCGUGCCAGCAGCCGCGGUAAUACGGAGGGUGCGAGCGUUAAUCGGAAUUACUGGGCGUAAAGCGCGCGUAGGCGGUCUGAUAAGCCGGUUGUGAAAGCCCCGGGCUCAACCUGGGAACGGCAUCCGGAACUGUCAGGCUAGAGUGCAGGAGAGGAAGGUAGAAUUCCCGGUGUAGCGGUGAAAUGCGUAGAGAUCGGGAGGAAUACCAGUGGCGAAGGCGGCCUUCUGGACUGACACUGACGCUGAGGUGCGAAAGCGUGGGUAGCAAACAGGAUUAGAUACCCCAGUAGUC